AGCAGCCGCGGUAAUUCCAGCUCCAAUAGCGUAUAUUAAAGUUGUUGCAGUUAAAAAGCUCGUAGUUGAAUUUCGGGAUCAAUACGUCGGUCGUACCUCGGUACGUACUAACGUUAUUGAUUUCUCCCUUCUGACGAACCGUGAUGUCAUUAAUUUGGUGUUACGGGGAGUUAGGACUGUUACUUUGAAAAAAUUAGAGUGUUUAAAGCAAGCAAUCGCUCGAAUACAUUAGCAUGGAAUAAUGAAAUAGGACGUUCGAACCUAUUUUGUUGGUUUUUAGGAUCGACGUAAUGAUUAAUAGGGAUAGUUGGGGGCAUUAGUAUUCAAUUGUCAGAGGUGAAAUUCUUGGAUUUAUUGAAGACUAACUACUGCGAAAGCAUUUGCCAAGGAUGUUUUCAUUAAUCAAGAACGAAAGUUAGGGGAUCGAAGACGAUCAGAUACCGUCGUAGUCUUAACCAUAAACUAUGCCGACUAGGGAUCGGAUGAUGUUAAUUUUUUAAUGACUCAUUCGGCGCCUUAC
This 520-nucleotide ribosomal RNA is filed under the name uncultured Glomus. RNAcentral describes it as "SSU rRNA". It matches the Rfam family "Eukaryotic small subunit ribosomal RNA", at positions 569 to 1091 of the family's 1831-position model. The record is from RNAcentral. Lineage: Eukaryota; Fungi; Glomeromycota; Glomeromycetes; Glomerales; Glomeraceae.